AUUGAACGCUGGCGGCAUGCCUUACACAUGCAAGUCGAACGGUAACGGGCCUUCGGGUGCCGACGAGUGGCGAACGGGUGAGUAAUACAUCGGAACGUGCCCGAUCGUGGGGGAUAACGAGGCGAAAGCUUUGCUAAUACCGCAUACGAUCUACGGAUGAAAGCAGGGGACCGCAAGGCCUUGCGCGGACGGAGCGGCCGAUGGCAGAUUAGGUAGUUGGUGGGAUAAAAGCUUACCAAGCCGACGAUCUGUAGCUGGUCUGAGAGGAUGAUCAGCCACACUGGGACUGAGACACGGCCCAGACUCCUACGGGAGGCAGCAGUGGGGAAUUUUGGACAAAGGGCGCAAGCCUGAUCCAGCCAUGCCGCGUGCAGGAUGAAGGCCUUCGGGUUGUAAACUGCUUUUGUACGGAACGAAAAGCCUUCUUUUAAUACAGGAGGGUCAUGACGGUACCGUAAGAAUAAGCACCGGCCAACUACGUG
This 482-nucleotide ribosomal RNA is filed under the name uncultured bacterium. RNAcentral describes it as "partial 16S ribosomal RNA". It matches the Rfam family "Bacterial small subunit ribosomal RNA", at positions 30 to 507 of the family's 1533-position model. The record is from RNAcentral.